UGGGGAAUAUUGGACAAUGGGCGAAAGCCUGAUCCAGCCAUGCCGCGUGUGUGAAGAAGGUCUUCGGAUUGUAAAGCACUUUAAGUUGGGAGGAAGGGCAUUAACCUAAUACGUUAGUGUUUUGACGUUACCGACAGAAUAAGCACAGGCUAACUCUGUGCCAGCAGCCGCGGUAAUACAGAGGGUGCAAGAGUUAAUCGGAAUUACUGGGCGUAAAGCGCGCGUAGGUGGUUUGUUAAGUUGGAUGUGAAAUCCCCGGGCUCAACCUGGGAACUGCAUUCAAAACUGACUGACUAGAGUAUGGUAGAGGGUGGUGGAAUUUCCUGUGUAGCGGUGAAAUGCGUAGAUAUAGGAAGGAACACCAGUGGCGAAGGCGACCACCUGGACUAAUACUGACACUGAGGUGCGAAAGCGUGGGGAGCAAACA
Molecule: ribosomal RNA, 427 nt
Filed under: uncultured bacterium
Lineage: Bacteria
Description: partial 16S ribosomal RNA
Rfam family: Bacterial small subunit ribosomal RNA
Source: RNAcentral